GAUGAACGCUGGCGGCGUGCCUAAUGCAUGCAAGUCGAGCGAACAGACGAGGAGCUUGCUCCUCUGACGUUAGCGGCGGACGGGUGAGUAACACGUGGAUAACCUACCUAUAAGACUGGGAUAACUUCGGGAAACCGGAGCUAAUACCGGAUAAUAUAUUGAACCGCAUGGUUCAAUAGUGAAAGACGGUUUUGCUGUCACUUAUAGAUGGAUCCGCGCCGCAUUAGCUAGUUGGUAAGGUAACGGCUUACCAAGGCAACGAUGCGUAGCCGACCGGAGAGGGUGAUCGGCCACACUGGAACGGAGACACGGUCCAGACUCCUACGGGAGGCAGCAGGAGGGGAGCUUCCGCGAUCGGCGAAAGCUUGACGGAGCAACGCCGCGUGAGUGAUGAAGGGCGUCGGAUCGUAAAACUCUGUUAUUAGGGAAGAAAAAAUGUGUAAGUAACUAUGCACGUCUUGGCGGUACCUGAGCAGAAAGCCACGGCUAACUACGGGC
Molecule: ribosomal RNA, 498 nt
Filed under: uncultured bacterium
Lineage: Bacteria
Description: partial 16S ribosomal RNA
Rfam family: Bacterial small subunit ribosomal RNA
Source: RNAcentral